AUUCCAAUUAGGAGAGGCUUACCCCCUUGGACCAGAGCCUGUCUAUGGAGAGCCUGUUCACUUCCUAUCUCACUCCCUAUUAAGCCCCAUUGUACCAACCCGGAAGUUUCCCGAGAGUGGAAGUUCUCCCCUUAUUAGACAUUCUCUGAGAUUUGGAGGAGUCGUGAUAUUUUGAGA
Long non-coding RNA from Sander lucioperca (pikeperch), 177 nucleotides. RefSeq lists it as uncharacterized. The record is from RefSeq and is a predicted model, not a curated record. Lineage: Eukaryota; Metazoa; Chordata; Actinopteri; Perciformes; Percidae. The transcript has 3 exons.